ACGCUCGACACCUACGGGAGGCAGCAGUGGGGAAUAUUGCACAAUGGGGGAAACCCGUGAUGCAGCGACGCCGCGUGAGCGAAGAAGUAUCUCGGUAUGUAAAGCUCUAUCAGCAGGGAAGAAGAUGACGGUACCUGACUAAGAAGCACCGGCUAAAUACGUGCCAACAGCCGCGGUAAUCUGAGGCGGGCUGGCAAGGC
This 200-nucleotide ribosomal RNA is filed under the name uncultured bacterium. Its description in RNAcentral is "partial 16S ribosomal RNA". It matches the Rfam family "Bacterial small subunit ribosomal RNA", at positions 328 to 539 of the family's 1533-position model. The record is from RNAcentral.